This 283-nucleotide small RNA is filed under the name Arabidopsis thaliana (thale cress). Its description in RNAcentral is "ATSL002280". The stretch from base 32 to 175 matches the Rfam family "small nucleolar RNA snoR134". The record is from RNAcentral. Lineage: Eukaryota; Viridiplantae; Streptophyta; Magnoliopsida; Brassicales; Brassicaceae.
CUUUUUAUAUAUAUAUAUAUCUAGUUAUGGUUCGCAGGAGCCUCCCGGGCUAGUCUGAUAACUAAGGUACUUGAGGAACUAAGCCCCAAAGCUCCUGCUAGAUUAUUUUUGCCGUUUGUGUUGCAGAUUUGCCUUAUUCCUUAGGCUUUUCUGUGUCAAAAAAGCGGCUAUAUCUCUCUUUUCUGUGUAUGUUUUGCUUUGAGCUGUGUUUGUUGAUGGUAUCGAUUUGGUAUCAACGUUUGUUUAUGUGGCAAUGAUUAUAAACUUACCCGCGCUUCUGAGA